CAAGCGUUAUCCGGAUUUACUGGGUGUAAAGGGCGUGUAGGCGGGGAAGCAAGUCAGAUGUGAAAACCACGGGCUCAACCUGUGGCCUGCAUUUGAAACUGUUGAACUAGAUUGCAGGAGAGGUAAGUGGAAUUCCUAGUGUAGCGGUGAAAUGCGUAGAUAUUAGGAGGAACACCAGUGGCGAAGGCGGCUUACUGGACUGUAAAUGACGCUGAGGCUCGAAAGCGUGGGGAGCAAACAGG
RNAcentral lists this ribosomal RNA (242 nucleotides) under uncultured bacterium. Its description in RNAcentral is "partial 16S ribosomal RNA". It matches the Rfam family "Bacterial small subunit ribosomal RNA", at positions 535 to 776 of the family's 1533-position model. The record is from RNAcentral.